CUAGCUUAUAUCAGCAUGACAGAAGAAACUGAAUAGAAUCAGAAGAUCAAGAAAGCAAGAUACCACCAGCCAACAGGACACAAAUGGACAGGACCUUCCCUCCCAGGGAGACCCCAACCAUUGCAGAAGGGUUGGAAAGACUUUGGCCUACUAUGACCCUAUAAGACUGCUGGGUGACUGCUGGAAGUGACCUGCUGAAGCAUCACCAUACUGGAACAAUACACAGAACAAGCGUAAGUGGGAUAGUGCUUUCAGCCUCACUGCUUUAUUCACCAAGAGAGGAUCUAGAGAGUUCACAAGAAAGAAAAGCCAGACCCUUCACUCCUGUGACCCAAGAGAACUAUCUCCACUGUUGCCUGUUAAGUAUGUACAUUGUUCUCCCCUCAGGUAACAGAUACAUCCAAGCACAUUAUGGGCAUCCAAGCGCAUUGUGGGCAGCCACCACACAACACACCUUUGUUCACUUAAUCUAAGGAUGACAAUGUUAAAGCGCUAUUCAAAUAUUUGUGCGUUCUCUCUUCAAUUUGUAUAUUUUAAUAUAUUCAUUGUGAGAUGGGUUCACCUAAUUGAUAAUGAGAGUACGUCUACAUUGCAAUAAAAACCUGUGGCACCAAGUCUCAGAGCCCGAGUCAGUUGUCUUGGGUUUGCAGGGCUAAAAAUUGCAGCAUAGAUUUUUGGGCUUGGAAUGGAGCUGGGGCUCUGAGAACCCAUGAGAGGGGAAGAUUUCAGAGCUCAGGCGCCAGCCUGAGCCCAAACAUCUACACUGCAAUUUUUAGCCCUCCAGCCUGAGCCAGCUUAUGCUGGGCCAGCCCCAGCCAUGCCACAGGUCUUCUAUUGCAGUGUAGACGUACCCAAAGAGAACAUUAGUUUCCAUAUGUUCUGACUUUACACUAUCAUACCAAGAAAACAAGGUACUAAAUAUGUUGACACUUCUAGUGGAGAACAGAAAGCUUUAAAGACAGACACACAACUGCCCCCAAGAUUUCUAAUUCUCACUCAGACCAGCAGAGCAGCAUUUGCUCUGAAUCUAAAAUUAUUAGUAGGAUGGGGCUGGAAUUUUCCACAAUAAUCAUGUGUCUCUAAGCUCUGUCAAGGUCAAACCUGAACGUUUCCUGCAGUCUUUUAAAUUUAUCAUAUAGCUCAUUUGCCUUAUAUUCCCAAGAGAGUUUUGUGAACAGUACACAGUUGCUUUCCCAAUAAUGCUUUGUUAUCCCUUCUAUAUGUACUGAAACAAAAACUAUCACACCACACACUCACAUGCCCGGCAAUGAACCCAUGAGCACAGACCUUCUUCCCUUUACUCCUUUUGGGGCACUGUGCACCCCCCAGGGGCACACAGGAUAGUCCCUCGAAGCAAGUACACCACCACCCGAUAUAACGUGACCCAAUAUAACACAAAUUCGGAUAUAACGCGGUAAAGCAGUGCUCCGGGGUGGGGGGGUGGGGGGAAGGCUGCGCACUCCAGCGAUCAAAGCAAGUUCGAUAUAACACGGUUUCACCUAUAACGCGGUAAGAUUUUUUGGCUCCCGAGGACAGCGUUAUAUCGAGGUAGAGGUGUACUGCUACUGUAAAAGCUGUUGCAUGGAGGUGUGGAAGGCAAAGUUCUGUCUGUACUUUUCCAUUCCCCUAACAAGGUUCUCUCACAAUCUGGCCCUAAACCAAGCUAUUUCUAGUGUUGUGGUGCAGCUGGGUUUUUGCCCCCUAUUGACAAAUGUUUAAUUCUGGGAAUAAAGUAUGCUCCCACUCUUUAGUAUGCUCAAAAUGUUGUACUCUUGUUAGGAAACUGUUUGGGAAUAGUAAUAUGUUUAAUAGUAUCUCAAAUUCAGAGUAAUCCAGCAAUAGUGAAGCUCCAGUAAAGGUAUUCCCUCAUUCACACUCUUUUCUAAACACCAAUGUAUUGCCAUUCUGUUUCCUCCAUCCCUUACCCCAGGAAUUGGUAUAAUAUUUCAGUAACUGAAAUACAGAUGUAAUUAAUGCCCAGGCCCAGAAUCAGGCAGGGAUUUGUCUGCAACAAAAUUUUCAUGUAGAAGGAGGGUUCCUAUGGGUGAGAAGUAGUUAUGCUUUUCCUAUGACACUACUCAGGGACCACUGAGAGUGUUGUUUUUUGGGGGUAGGAGGGUUAAGUAAAUCACAAGAUAGAAUGAUGUUUCCAAGAAACAUGGUCUGACAGAACCAUGUCUUAGGAUCUUCCUUUGACUCAGCAAUCCCAUAGGUACUACAUUUAUAUUCUGUGUUUUCCUCUCAACAAAGGCAUUGUAAUAUGGUAUUGUAUUUUCUUGUGAUAAAAUACUAUUAAGUCA
Molecule: long non-coding RNA, 2300 nt
Organism: Malaclemys terrapin pileata
Lineage: Eukaryota; Metazoa; Chordata; Testudines; Emydidae
Exons: 3
Source: RefSeq, a predicted model, not a curated record